AAAAAGACAAACCCUAUGUUUCCGUGUCCAAUGUUUAACUGUCGUCUUAUAUGAAACUUUUUUAUAAUUAGUAUUUUCAUUGUUGUUAGAUGAUAAAACAUGAUUAAUACUUUAUGCAUGACUUGUCUUUUUAAUUUUUUUUCAUAUUUUUUUAAAUAAGACGGACGGUCAAAUGUUGGACACGGAAACCUAGAGAUUUUCCUUUU
Oryza glaberrima (African rice) is the source of this 206-nucleotide non-coding RNA. Lineage: Eukaryota; Viridiplantae; Streptophyta; Magnoliopsida; Poales; Poaceae. The record is from Rfam.